CCCUUAGAUGUUCUGGGCCGCACGCGCGCUACACUGAUGCAUUCAACGAGUCUAAAACCUGGUCUGAGAGGGCUGGGUAAUCUUUUGAAAGUGCAUCGUGAUUGGGAUAGAUGAUUGCAAUUCUUCAUCUUCAACGAGGAAUUCCUAGUAAACGCAAGUCAUCAUCUUGCAUUGAUUACGUCCCUGCCCUUUGUACACACCGCCCGUCGCUCCUACCGAUUGAAUGUUCCGGUGAACACUUUGGAAUAGUUCUUAUGUGAGGGGAAACUCUUUGCUUGGAUACUGUGAAGUUGUGUAAACCUUAACAUUUAGAGGAAGGAGAAGUCGCAACA
Molecule: ribosomal RNA, 332 nt
Filed under: uncultured eukaryote
Lineage: Eukaryota
Description: partial 18S ribosomal RNA
Rfam family: Eukaryotic small subunit ribosomal RNA
Source: RNAcentral